GCCGGCGUGGUAUGGUGUUUUUAGCGUCGGACGACAACUCCGGAGGCCAGGGUUCGAAUCCCAGCUCGGUCA
Molecule: non-coding RNA, 72 nt
Organism: Phrynosoma platyrhinos (Desert horned lizard)
Lineage: Eukaryota; Metazoa; Chordata; Lepidosauria; Squamata; Phrynosomatidae
Source: the annotation of a GenBank genome assembly